RNAcentral lists this microRNA precursor (72 nucleotides) under Gyrodactylus salaris (gyrodactylosis fluke). Its description in RNAcentral is "microRNA gsa-mir-2001 precursor". Lineage: Eukaryota; Metazoa; Platyhelminthes; Monogenea; Gyrodactylidea; Gyrodactylidae. The record is from miRBase by way of RNAcentral.
UUGUGACCGUUUUAAUAGGCCACACAAGAUUUGAAUGAACAACUUCAAUGGCCUUUUAUCACGGUAACAAUG